This 219-nucleotide small RNA is filed under the name Firmicutes bacterium CAG:646. RNAcentral describes it as "Clostridiales-1 RNA". It matches the Rfam family "Clostridiales-1 RNA". The record is from Rfam by way of RNAcentral. Lineage: Bacteria; Bacillati; Bacillota.
AGAUGCCAAGGUCAAAAGUCAUAAACCACGGUGUGCUUGCACAUAAGUGGUUUCGUGACUUUAUGACCCGCCCCAAUAUGAGGGUGCUGCGUGCCGGUGGCACGCGUUUAGCACCGACCGCAACGGAGUGUAGAAUAAAGUGGGGCGUAUGCCCCACGAUAUCCGAAUUUGGGGCAGAAUUGUGGGAGUGCGCAGCACGAAACAAUUCGUCAAGCAUCU